Molecule: ribosomal RNA, 272 nt
Filed under: uncultured bacterium
Lineage: Bacteria
Description: partial 16S ribosomal RNA
Rfam family: Bacterial small subunit ribosomal RNA
Source: RNAcentral
UACGUAGGGUGCGAGCGUUGUUCGGAAUUACUGGGCGUAAAGCGCACGCAGGCGGUUCGAUUAGUCAGAAGUGAAAGCCCCGGGCUCAACCUGGGAAUUGCUUUUGUAUACUGUCGAGCUUGAAUCACGGAGAGGGUAGUGGAAUUCCGAGUGUAGAGGUGAAAUUCGUAGAUAUUCGGAAGAACACCAGUGGCGAAGGCGGCUCACUGGUCCAUUACUGACGCUGAGGUGCGAAAGCGUGGGGAGCAAACAGGAUUAGAAACCCGAGUAGU